GACGAACGCUGGCGGCGUGCUUAACACAUGCCAGUCGAACGGAAAGGCCCUGCUUUUGUUCGUUUCUCGUUUGGCGAACGGGGGAGUAACACGUGAGUAUCCUGCCCUUGACUGUGUGAUAACUUCAGGAAACUGGGGCUCAUAUCGGAUAGGAGCUCCUGCUGCAUGUGGGGGGUUGGAAAGUGUCGGCUGUUGUGGCUGGACUCGCGGCUUAUCAGCUUGUUGGUGUGGUAGUUGCUUACCAAGGCUUUGACGGGUAGCCGGCCUGAGAGGGUGACCGGCCACAUUGGGACUGAGAUACGGCCCAGACUCCUACGGGAGGCAGCGGUGGGGAAUAUUGCGGAACGGGCGGAAGCCUGAUGCAGCAACGCCGCGUGCGGGAUGACGGCCUUCGGGUUGUAAACCGCUUUCGACUGUGACGAAGCCUGAGUGACGGUACUGGGUAAAGAAGCACCGGCUAACUACGUG
Molecule: ribosomal RNA, 468 nt
Filed under: uncultured bacterium
Lineage: Bacteria
Description: partial 16S ribosomal RNA
Rfam family: Bacterial small subunit ribosomal RNA
Source: RNAcentral